RNAcentral lists this ribosomal RNA (253 nucleotides) under uncultured bacterium. RNAcentral's name for it is "partial 16S ribosomal RNA". It matches the Rfam family "Bacterial small subunit ribosomal RNA", at positions 524 to 776 of the family's 1533-position model. The record is from RNAcentral.
UACGUAGGGGGCAAGCGUUGUCCGGAAUCAUUGGGCGUAAAAAGCGUGUAGGCGGCCAUGUAGGUCCGUUGUGAAAACUCGAGGCUCAACCUCGAGACGCCGAUGGAAACCAUGUGGCUAGAGUCCGGAAGAGGAGAGUGGAAUUCCUGGUGUAGCGGUGAAAUGCGCAGAUAUCAGGAAGAACACCCGUGGCUAAGGCGGCUCUCUAGUACGGUACUGACGCUGAGACGCGAAAGCGUGGGGAGCGAACAGG